RNAcentral lists this ribosomal RNA (763 nucleotides) under Nematoda environmental sample. RNAcentral describes it as "SSU rRNA". It matches the Rfam family "Eukaryotic small subunit ribosomal RNA", at positions 134 to 896 of the family's 1831-position model. Lineage: Eukaryota; Metazoa; Nematoda. The record is from RNAcentral.
UCUACUUGGAUAACUGUGGCAAUUCUAGAGCUAAUACAUGCACGAAAGCUCGGACCCUCGCGGAAAGAGCGCAUUUAUUAGACCAAAACCAAUCGGGCGCUUCGGCGCUUGGUUUUUGGUGACUCUGAAUAACUUAGUUGAUCGCACAGUCUUAGUACUGGCGACGUAUCUUUCAAAUGUCUGCCUUAUCAACUUUCGAUGGUAGGUUAUACGCCUACCAUGGUUAUAACGGGUAACGGAGAAUUAGGGUUCGACUCCGGAGAGGGAGCCUGAGAAACGGCUACCACAUCCAAGGAAGGCAGCAGGCGCGCAAAUUACCCAAUCUCAGAACGAGGAGGUAGUGACGAAAAAUAACAAAACAGUCCACUCUGUGGCCUGUUAUCGGAAUGGGUACAAUUUAAAUCUUUUAACGAGGAUCUAUUAGAGGGCAAGUCUGGUGCCAGCAGCCGCGGUAAUUCCAGCUCUAAUAGCGUAUAUUAAAGUUGUUGUGGUUAAAACGCCCGUAGUUGGUUUUUCGGUCUCGAAGCUCGGUAGCUCGAAUGGGCUUAACUGAGUCUUCCGGCCUAAAUUUCUUGUACUCUCCCGAUGCUCUUUAUUGAGUGUCUCGAGAUGCUAGAACGUUUACUUUGAAAAAAUUAGAGUGCUAAAAGCAGGCUAUACGCUUGAAUAAAGUGCAUGGAAUAAUGGAAUAGGACUUUAGUUUUAUUUUGUUGGUUUUCGAAAUUAAAGUAAUGAUUAAGAGGAACAGACGGGGGCAUUCGUA